GCUGAAUAUAACGGUUCUCGUUAGAUCACCGAAGUCAAGCAUCAUUGGGCGCGGUCAGUACUUGGGUGGGUGACCACCUGGGAACACCGCGUGCCGUU
RNAcentral lists this ribosomal RNA (98 nucleotides) under Caerostris darwini. Lineage: Eukaryota; Metazoa; Arthropoda; Arachnida; Araneae; Araneidae. The record is from RNAcentral.